UUGAAAGGGAAACGAUUGAAGUCAGGUCGNACCGACNNGNNNNCAGCUUUUCGANUNNGCANNUNUNNNNGUAUGAGAUCUUCAUUGUUUGCAAUAUGUAUGUUUCUUUGGUGUACUUUUUCGUAUGGNAGGUCAAUGUCGGUUUUGAUCGCCAUAAAAUGAUCGGAGGAAUGUAGCUUCGGCCUCGGUUGAAGUGUUAUAGCCUUUGGUAAAUGUGGUGAUUAGGACCGAGGAUUGCAACGAAUACCUUUUAGGCUAUCCGUCUGACCUCUGAAAGUUACUUAGGUGCCGAAAGCUUGCUUACGGUCAUUUAAGUUGACGGUCAAUAGGUUAGAACGUGAUUACAUUCGUUAAGGAUGUUGACGUA
RNAcentral lists this ribosomal RNA (367 nucleotides) under uncultured Glomeromycotina. Its description in RNAcentral is "partial large subunit ribosomal RNA". Lineage: Eukaryota; Fungi; Glomeromycota. The record is from RNAcentral.